UGCUGGAGGUAUCAGAAGUGCGAAUGCUGACAUAAGUAACGAUAAAGCGGGUGAAAAGCCCGCUCGCCGGAAGACCAAGGGUUCCUGUCCAACGUUAAUCGGGGCAGGUGAGUCGACCCCUAAGGCGAGGCCGAAAGGCGUAGUCGAUGGGAAACAGGUUAAUAUUCCUGUACUUGGUGUUACUGGCGAAGGGGGGACGGAGAAGGCUAUGUUAGCCGGGCGACGGUUGUCCCGGUUUAAGCAUGUAGGCUGAUU
Molecule: ribosomal RNA, 255 nt
Filed under: Klebsiella pneumoniae
Lineage: Bacteria; Pseudomonadati; Pseudomonadota; Gammaproteobacteria; Enterobacterales; Enterobacteriaceae
Description: partial 23S ribosomal RNA
Rfam family: Bacterial large subunit ribosomal RNA
Source: RNAcentral